This 375-nucleotide ribosomal RNA is filed under the name uncultured bacterium. Its description in RNAcentral is "bacterial SSU rRNA". It matches the Rfam family "Bacterial small subunit ribosomal RNA", at positions 523 to 898 of the family's 1533-position model. The record is from RNAcentral.
AUACGUAGGGGGCAAGCGUUAUCCGGAAUCACUGGGUGUAAAGGGUGCGUAGGCGGCAAUGUAAGUCAGAUGUGAAAUCCCGGGGCUCAACCCCGGGCGUGCAUUUGAAACUGCAUAGCUAGAGUGCAGGAGAGGAAAGUGGAAUUCCUAGUGUAGCGGUGAAAUGCGUAGAUAUUAGGAGGAACACCAGUGGCGAAGGCGACUUUCUGGACUGUAACUGACGCUGAUGCACGAAAGCGUGGGUAGCGAACAGGAUUAGAUACCCUGGUAGUCCACGCCGUAAACGAUGAGUGCUAGGUGUCGGGGGGUCAUACCCUCGGUGCCGGAGCAAACGCAUUAAGCACUCCACCUGGGGAGUACGUUCGCAAGAAUGAA